This is a long non-coding RNA of Dama dama (fallow deer), 4958 nucleotides long. RefSeq lists it as uncharacterized. The transcript has 3 exons. The record is from RefSeq and is a predicted model, not a curated record. Lineage: Eukaryota; Metazoa; Chordata; Mammalia; Artiodactyla; Cervidae.
AGGAUGGGGGAGCUUGUGGACUCUCUGCCCUGGUAAAGUGCAUCGCAGGAAACAGCUGCUUUGGAAUUUGCCAGGACCAAGCCAGCAGGUGCCAGGUUCCAGACAAGAGCAGAGACUGGGGGGAUGUGAACACACAGAACGCACGUGGAUCAGACUCAUUCUCAGGGCUUCUCUGGUGGCUCAGUAGUGAAGAAUCCACCUACCAAUCCAGGAGACGUGAGUUCAAUCCCUGGUCCAGGAAGAUCCCACAAGCCACAGAGCAACUAAGCCUGGGUACUAUAACUAUUGAGCCUGUGCUCUAGAGCCCCUGCUCUGCAACAAGAGGGUACCCCCUCCUGCUCGCCGCAACUAGAGAAAAGCCCUCGCAGCAAUGGGUCACGGGUUCAGGCCCUGGUUGGAGAACUAAGAUCCUGCGUGCCCCAUUGCACAGCUACAAAAAAAAAAAAAAGAAUAGCAUAAUGUUCACAUGGGAACAGAAUCCUCACAAUUGCAAAUGAAGCUAAGCGCUGCAAGCACAUUUCCUUCUGUCUUACGAAAUCGCAGGAAACUUGUGGUUUUUUAUUGAGGCUUCAGGACAGUCAUCACCCUCUUUCCACUAAGACCAUAGAGAUUCUCCUCCAGCUGUGCAUCCUAAAUGUCAUGUUGCUCCAGGGUUAGGGCUCGAAGUUCUACCUGCUAAAGCUGGAGUCCAUGAAUGGUACUUGGGCCAGUAAGUCUCAAAGUUCUGACAGACAGCUAUAGCAGCACAGAGGCAAGGGUAGCAUAGAGAUAGGUAGGCAGACGGACCAAUGACCAUCAACAGAAAUGCAAGACUUAACACCAUGCUACUUAAAAACAUCUAAUGGUUCCCACACACAAAACAAUGUCUCAACGCCUUAGAACUACAUAAAGAACUAUUUCUGUGCAGGCACAGCCAAUGGAACCACCGCACAAUUGCACUCAUCUCACACGCUAGCAAAGUAAUGCUCAAAAUUCUCCAAGCCAGGCUUCAACGGUACGUGAACCAUGAACUUCUAGAUGUUCAAGUUGGAUUUAGAAAAGGCAGAGAAACCAGAGAUAAAAUUGCCAACAUCUGCUGGAUCAUUGGGAAAGCAAGAAAGUUCCAGGAAAACAUUUAGGUCCUCUUUAUUGACUACACCAAAGCCUUUGACUGUGUGGAUCACAACAAACUGGAAAAUUCUUAAAGAGAUGGGAAUACCAGACCACCACCUGACCUCCCUCCUGAGAAAUCUGUAUGCAGGUCAAGAAGCCACAGUUAGAACUGGACAUGGAACAACAGACUGGUUCCAAAUCGGGAAAGGAGUAUGCUAGUGGGAAGCUGCUCUAUAGCACAGGGAGAUCAGCUCAGGGCUCUGUGAUGACCUAGAGGGUUGUAGGAUUAGGGAGGGAGGUCCAAGAGGGGGUUGUGGUAAUGAUGUGACAUAAUGCAUAUAGAAAGCUGAGUGCCAAAGAAUUGAUGCUUUUAAACUGUGGAAUUAGAGAAGACUCUUGAGAGUCCCUUGGACUGCAAGGAGAUCCAACCAGUCCAUCCUAAAGGAGAUCAGUCCUGGGUGUUCAUUGGAAGGACUGAUGCUGAAGCUGAAACUCCAAUACUUUGGCCACCUCAUACGAACAGUUGACUCAUUGGAAACGACCCUGAUGCUGGGAGGGAUUGAGGGCAGGAGGAGAAGGGGACGACAGAGGAUGAGAUGGCUGGAUAGCAUCACCGACUCGAUGGACAUGAGUUUGAGUAAACUCUGGGAGUUGGUGAUGGACAGAGAAGCCUGGCGUGCUGCGAUUCAUGGAGUCACAAAGAGUCAGACAUGACUGAACAACUGAACUGAACUGAACAGUCAGUGGUGGGAUUCCCAGAUAGCUCAGUGGUAAAAAUCUGCCUACCAAUGCAGGAGACAUGGGUUCGAUCCCUAGAUCAGGGAAGCUCCCCUGGAGGAGGAAGUGGUAACCCACUCCAGUAUCCUUGCUGGGAAAAUCCCAGGGACAGUGGAGCCUGGCUGGCUAUAGAUCAUGGGGUCACAAAGAGUCGGACACAACUGAGUGAGCAUGCACAAUCAGCGGUACCAGCUUCACUGCCCACUUUACAUUCCUCCUGUUGAUACAUUUGUGACAUCCUUGAAUACUCCUUUUUAACUCUAUGCUUUUGAAGAUUCUUCUACCAAGAAUUCCUUCCCCUACUUUGAGAGUUAAUUGUUCAUCAUAUGUUAUUGGUAUAACUCACUAUAUUAACACUUAGCCAAACUCCACAACGGACAACAGUUGAUGCUUUAAAAAGGAAGUUCAGCAUUUUCUGAUUUUCUUAUCUCAGUAUAUUAAAAUUUUUGAACGGUUAAGUACAUCUUUGUGAAUAAAUCACUGGAUUGCUCCUCUUCAGUAAGGAAUCUCCCAUCAUCCAGCCAUAACUUGAUGUACAUGUAAAUAACUGACGCAGAGACAAGACGGUAAAUGAAGUGAAGUGGGGCAAACCAGUAAGGCAGGAUGGAUGUGUCCAAACAGAUUGGCCAGUGUACAUGUUUAAACAGUGUGGGCAGUUUUCCGGAGGCCAAGUGUACUGGAUGGCUUGUUUUGAAAAUACCAGCAUAAACUUCUUAAGCAAAUGUUUUAUGGUGUGUAACACAAGUAUAAAACUGAUGCGUUAAGAAAAUUAGUCACUGGGUUUGCUUUGCUAAUGAAACAGAAAUGACUUUUUUUUUCUUUAUAAGAAAAUCUUGAAUGCUGUUCUCGGGCUGAGACAGCAUGGAGCCAGUCACUCCCACAACAUUCUUCUUCCGAGAGCACGCAACUCCCAUCUGAUGGAGGGCUGCUCUUAUCUAACCUUGUUCUUCCCAAAUGACACCAUCCCUUUCGCUAUUAAGAAAUGACUUGUACUUUAGCUUUACCUCUUGAAGUAAGGUUUGUUACUGCAUUUAAAGAUUAUGUGGCAAGUAAAUGCAAAAUGUAAAGCUGUCUCCCCAUUCCAGUCCAAACACCAGCAUGAAACAUCUGAUAGGCCACAGAGAGAAAGAAAGAAGGAAAUAAGCAGUUACUGAGUCCAUAUUAUGUACCAGGCAAGGCUUCUAGGCUGUAGCUUGUCCCAGACUUGAGACUGUAUCUGUGGCAUCUCUAGUGCCUGGCACAGUUCCUGGCACCUACACAGUUGCUCAAUAAACAUUUAUUUACUGAACCAAUCGAAAUGCAUUCCAGACGUUAUCCCAUUUAAUAUUCACAACCACCUUCUGAAUUUCCCAGUGUUUUCUUCAUGUCAUAAAGAGACUAAGUAAUUCAUCCAGGAUCACAGUGAAAGGCCUGAUUACAAACCAAGGAUAUAAGUCAGACGUCUUAGGGGACUUCCCUGGUGGUCCAGUGGCUAAGACCCUGCAUUCCCAAUGCAAGGGGACCAUGUUCGUUCCCUUUUCAGGGAUCUAGAUCCCACAUGACACAACUAAGACCUGAUGCAGCCAAGUAAAUAAAUUAAAAAAAAAAAAAAACAGGAUGUGAGACAUGUUAGCAGUCAUGUAGAAAAAUACAACUUUUAAUAGAUGAAACAAAGUGUUCACUGAAUUUAAGUGACUGUCUCCAUAGACCACUUACAGCAGAGCAAAUGACAUGACUACAAACAUGAAAAUCAAGACAAACAUAGGAUUUUUAAGUUUAAAAUAUUCUAAACAAUAGGUAUGGCCAUUGAUACAAGAAUAUAUAGGAUUCAACUUGAUAUUUUGAGUGUGCCUGUAAUAUGGCAAGAACAAAAAUGACUAAGCAAUAGACUCUGCCCAUGAAGAUACAACACAAACAGAAACAGUACAAUAAAUCAGACCCUAUGCCUUUACAGGGGCUUCCCUGGUGACUCAGAGGGUAAAGAAUCUACCUGCAAUGUAGGAGACCUGGGUUCGAUCCCUGGAUUGGGAAGAUGCCUUAGAGAAGGGAAUGGCAACCCACUCUAGUCUCCUUACCUGGAGAAUCCCAUGGACAGAGGAGCCUGGCAGGCUACAGUCCACAGGGUCACAGUCAGACACAACUGAGUGGUUAAUUAUAUGCCUUUACAGAGUUAUGAAGCAAGCUUUGUGGGGGCACCAUUGAUGGAACAAGUAACACCACACUAAAGAGGAAGAGGGCUUCCCAGGUUCCUCAGUGGGUAAAGAAUCCACCUGCAAUGCAGGAAAUGCAGGAGACAUGGGUUCAAUCACUGGGUGGGGAAGAUCCCCUGGAGGAGGGCAUGGCAACCUACUCCAGUAUUUUUGCCUGGAAAAUCCCAUGGACAGAGGAGCCUGGAGGGCCACAGUGCAUAGGGUCAUAAAGGAGUCAGACAUGAUUGAAUAGACUAAGCACGCAUGCAAAGAGGAAGAAGAUUAAGGGUAUUGUUAAAGAAACAUUGCAGAAGCAAAGAAGAGUCACAGAAGGUCCCGGCAAGGAGAGAAAACCAUGAGGAGCUUCAUAAAGUGGUUGUUUAGACUGCGUAGGAAGAAACGGUAGAAUACAAUCCUGGAAACGCAGAUUGCUAUCAAUUGUGAGGACGUUCUGCCCACGUCCAUUUGCUAAAGGAAUAAGAAUGUUUCCCUGAAAUGUUUUAUGCCAAGUACCCAAAGGAAGACUGGUGUGUCUUGUCUGACUCAUGGCAUCAGUGUUCAGCUCUUAUCAGACAACUUCCUUUAACUCACAGGGGCUCCUUCUCAACCUGCUGGUUUCCUUCUCUGUCUCUGCUCAUUCUGAAAGAAAAAAUGAGCCCAGUAAUUGAAUCUUAACCCAAAUUCACACCCGAUUACCUCAUAACGCACAAUUUCAACAGUAGAAAAGCAUGAUACUCCCCUGAUAUUGCAACAGGGCAAGAGUUUUCUCUUCUGAAUAAAACUAGCUUCUGAAAUGAGAUGGAUGAAACUGGAGCCCAUUAUACAGAGUGAAGUAAGCCAGAAAGAUAAAGAACAUUAAGCAUACUAACACAUAUAUAUGGAAUUUAGAAAGAUGGUAACGACAACCCUAUAUGCAAAACA